CAGCCGCCGCGGUAACACGUAGGGUCCGAGCGUUGUCCGGAAUUAUUGGGCGUAAAGAGCUCGUAUGCGGUCUGUCGCGUCUGCCGUGAAAUCCUCAGGCUCAACCUGAGGCGUGCGGUGGGUACGGGCAGGCUAGAGUGCGGUAGGGGAGAAUGGAACUCCUGGUGUAGCGGUGGAAUGCGCAGAUAUCAGGAAGAACACCGAUGGCGAAGGCAGUUCUCUGGGCCGUAACUGACGCUGAGGAGCGAAAGCGUGGGGAGCGAACAGGAUUAGAUACCCCCGUAGUCCCUGUCUCUUAUAC
This 301-nucleotide ribosomal RNA is filed under the name uncultured bacterium. Its description in RNAcentral is "partial 16S ribosomal RNA". It matches the Rfam family "Bacterial small subunit ribosomal RNA", at positions 509 to 807 of the family's 1533-position model. The record is from RNAcentral.